Molecule: long non-coding RNA, 1048 nt
Organism: Harmonia axyridis
Lineage: Eukaryota; Metazoa; Arthropoda; Insecta; Coleoptera; Coccinellidae
Exons: 4
Source: RefSeq, a predicted model, not a curated record
CAAUAUUAUCAAAAAUACUUAUUGUCUCAAGUGAAGUAGAUACCUCCUUAAAAUCAAAGAAGGAUGGUCCUUCAAAACUCUCAAUUUUUUCAAGAGUGAGUGGACACACCAAUAUUUCUAGACAUCUUAUCCCAAGGUUUACUGUGAGCUCAUUUUUUAUUUUUUAACACCUGAUGUUCAAGAUAAACUUGAUUCUAUGAUUGUUAAAGUCAUAGAAAUAUUUGAUGUCUAUGUUCACAAAAUUUCAUAGGCACUUUUUGUGUUAGUUGAUAUUCAUGAUUCUAUGUUUCCUAAAUCGCUUCGUAUUUUUCUUGAAAGUGAUAUCAACGUAGAAGUUGGAGAAAAUUUGGAUGUGAUCAUGUGAAUUGGAUUAGAGAAGUUACAGACUACACAUUCAAGGUAUAUGGUAGAAUGAUAGACAUAAAAUCAACUAUUUAUAUCUAUAAUCUAAGGGCAAAACGGGACCUCCAGAAUUUCAGGUUAUGGUCCUUAUUGGAUCAUGAAGAAGGAAAUUUCAAGCUACUUGAUGUCAACGUGGAAGUUGUAGAAAAAUUGGAUGUGGAUUGGAAUAGAGGAUUAAAGAUGUACUAUGGUAUGGUGAAAGAAAAGCUUAACACCGACUACAUAUUUAUGUAUUCUAAGGACACAAGAGUAUCUCCAAAAAUUCAGGUUAUGGUAUCUACUGAUUUAAUCGUGACGAAGGAAAUUAUUCCAAACAACUUUCUUUCAGGACGUUUUGGAAGGCUAUAUCGAGAGAAAAAAAACCAAGAAGUUAGAUAAUAUUACAGGACACGGAUCGGCCAUUGUGACGAUAAAUUCUUUGGUUUCUAGAAUUGACAGGACUCCCGAAAAACUUCAGACCUUAACCAGACCUAUAGGUACCUUUACCCGAUUCCGUCGGCCUCGAUUGGUCGGUCCAUCACAGGUGUGCACAAAAAAACCACCGGAUAGGAAGGGGAUAGUUUAUAAAAGGUGAAGACAUGCGUGACGGACGCCAAUUGAUCUUGCAGCUCCGCCCUUUGGCACGCCCCAUUGAUCGAGGACGUUU